This 402-nucleotide ribosomal RNA is filed under the name uncultured bacterium. Its description in RNAcentral is "bacterial SSU rRNA". It matches the Rfam family "Bacterial small subunit ribosomal RNA", at positions 355 to 774 of the family's 1533-position model. The record is from RNAcentral.
UGGGGAAUCUUGGACAAUGGGCGCAAGCCUGAUCCAGCCAUGCCGCGUGAGUGAAGAAGGCCUUAGGGUUGUAAAGCUCUUUUGGCAGGGACGAUAAUGACGGUACCUGCAGAAUAAGCCCCGGCAAACUUCGUGCCAGCAGCCGCGGUAAUACGAAGGGGGCUAGCGUUGUUCGGAUUUACUGGGCGUAAAGCGCACGUAGGCGGAUUGUUAAGUCAGGGGUGAAAUCCCGGAGCUCAACUCCGGAACUGCCUUUGAUACUGGCAGUCUUGAGGCUGGAAGAGGUUGGUAGAAUUCCCAGUGUAGAGGUGAAAUUCGUAGAUAUUGGGAAGAAUACCAGUGGCGAAGGCGGCCAACUGGUCCAGAUCUGACGCUGAGGUGCGAAAGCGUGGGGAGCAAACA